GGAGAGGUGCCCGAGAGGCCGAAGGGAGCAGUUUGCUAAACUGUCGUAGGUGUACGCCUACCGAGGGUUCGAAUCCCUCCCUCUCCG
This 87-nucleotide transfer RNA is filed under the name Spirochaetaceae bacterium. RNAcentral describes it as "tRNA-Ser". It matches the Rfam family "tRNA". Rfam says of the family: Transfer RNA (tRNA) molecules are approximately 80 nucleotides in length. Their secondary structure includes four short double-helical elements and three loops (D, anti-codon, and T loops). Lineage: Bacteria; Pseudomonadati; Spirochaetota; Spirochaetia; Spirochaetales; Spirochaetaceae. RNAcentral also lists the same sequence under 1 other name. The record is from RNAcentral.